RNAcentral lists this long non-coding RNA (1181 nucleotides) under Cricetulus griseus (Chinese hamster). RNAcentral describes it as "lncRNA (ENSCGRG00015030940.1)". Lineage: Eukaryota; Metazoa; Chordata; Mammalia; Rodentia; Cricetidae. The record is from RNAcentral.
GUAACUUAUUUGCAAUCAUGAAGAGCCCAAACACAGAGAGUUUAGAAUCUUAGAGAGACCUUAGAUGCCUUAAAGAUACUGGACUUUUAAAGUGUCUGAACUUUUAAAGACUAUGGGACUUGAAAAGUUGGAAUAUUUUAUUGUGACAUCAAUAUUAAUACUAUGCUAUCUUGGGGAUGAACAAGAAGAGUCAUCGCUCAGGUGACCCUUGGCACAGAUUCCAGCUGGAGGCCUCCCCUGCUGCACAUAUGGUUCUCCCAGUCCUAUGUAUUUCCUAUACUCUGGACAAAUGCUGAGCAGAGUCACCAAAGCUGUCUCCAGGAGGGCUGUCUCCGUCUUACCCAGCCCUGUUCCCUGCUUCUGCUUCCUCCACCCUUGUGGCCCAAUGCAGCCAGCACCACAAGUGGGGAUGGGAUGGAGCCUGUGGGUCCAUCCAGGCCUCUGGGACAAACAGCUGCAGAAAGACACUGGACUAUGGAAAAAACUGCUGAACUCAAUCAGCCGGCAUACUUCAAAGAUGUACUAACUUCUGAAUGGAAACUAGGACAUGUGUUACGUUGGAGUCGGGGUUUUGCAUUGGUUUCUAAAGGAGAAGAAAAACUUUGGAUACCAUCAAAGUUGAUCAAGAUUCGAGUGGAAAAGGAAAAACCUGUCGACGAGGACAAAUGACAGGUAUUCUACUAAGGUAUAUCUUAUAAACUAAAUAGAAACCUCCCAAAGGAAAGGGAAGUGUUUUGCUUUUAUCUUCACAGGAAAACUCAUCUCCAGAAGGCAAAGGACAUUGCAUGGGUAGAUACUUGGGAAGAAAAGGUAGCCAUAACCAUCAAACAAAAGGAACGUGCCAUAUGGUAAACUUUACAGCUGUCUCUCAGAGAACUAUUUCUCUUUAUUUCCUAGUCCCUAUUCAAUUAAACCAAUGCUGGGUUUAGAGGUGGAUUUGGCUUUCCUCCUCUAAAAUCCAAGCACGUUAUUUAACUAAACUUUAGUGUUUCUGUGUUGUAUCAAGAAGCCAAUUGAUGUAAUACAGAAUAAAAGAAGAAUUUGGGGACUGUCUUUGUCUCUUCUUGGAUCUUUCUCUCCAGGUGUACACCCUUUCAUAAUUGUUAUGCUCUCAUGGUUGCAUUCCGCAGCAUGUGUACAUACACAAGCAAACAUUUCUCUGCUAAUUGUUUAUGUUUGAG